AACGGCAGCACGGAGCUUGCUCUGGUGGCGAGUGGCGAACGGGUGAGUAAUAUAUCGGAACGUACCAUAGAGUGGGGGAUAACGUAGCGAAAGUUACGCUAAAUACCGCAUACGAUCUAAGGAUGAAAGUGGGGGAUUCGCAAGAACCCCAUGCUCGUGGAGCGGCCGAUAUCUGAUUAGCUAGUUCGGUAGGGUAAAAGCCUACCAAGGCAUCGAUCAGUAGCUGGUCUGAGAGGACGACCA
Molecule: ribosomal RNA, 243 nt
Filed under: uncultured bacterium
Lineage: Bacteria
Description: partial 16S ribosomal RNA
Rfam family: Bacterial small subunit ribosomal RNA
Source: RNAcentral